UGGGAUCGGGCAGCUUGCUUUUCCGCUGACGAGUGGCGCACGGGUGCGUAACGCGUAUACAAUCUGCCUCUUACAGGGGGAUAGCCUUUGGAAACGAAGAAUAAUACCCCAUAAUAUAUGGAUAUCGCAUGGUAUCUAUAUUAAAGAUUUAUCGGUAAGAGAUGAGUAUGCGUCCUAUUAGCUAGAUGGUGUGGUAACGGCACACCAUGGCAACGAUAGGUAGGGGCCCUGAGAGGGGGAUCCCCCACACUGGUACUGAGACACGGACCAGACUCCUACGGGAGGCAGCAGUGAGGAAUAUUGGACAAUGGGCGAGAGCCUGAUCCAGCCAUGCCGCGUGCAGGAAGACUGCCCUAUGGGUUGUAAACUGCUUUUGUACGGGAAGAAACCCACCUACGUGUAGGUGGCUGACGGUACCGUAAGAAUAAGCAUCGGCUAACUCCGUGCCAGCAGCCGCGGUAAUACGGAGGAUGCAAGCGUUAUCCGGAAUCAUUGGGUUUAAAGGGUCCGUAGGUGGAUCGAUAAGUCAGAGGUGAAAGCCUGCAGCUCAACUGUAGAACUGCCUUUGAUACUGUCGGUCUUGAAUUAUUGUGAAGUGGUUAGAAUAUGUAGUGUAGCGGUGAAAUGCAUAGAUAUUACAUAGAAUACC
Molecule: ribosomal RNA, 649 nt
Filed under: uncultured bacterium
Lineage: Bacteria
Description: bacterial SSU rRNA
Rfam family: Bacterial small subunit ribosomal RNA
Source: RNAcentral